AAAAAAACUAUAGUACAUCUAUAGUUGAAAUGACCAAAAAGCAGAGCAGUGGCAGACCAGCUGCGAUGUGCUUCAGAGCAGCAGAGCUGCCUGACUGCAGUCAGAGCACUGACGCUUCCAUGGUAUUAUGGUAAAGAAGCGCAGAAUUCUUCCCUAAGACAACUAAGCACUUUUCUUCAUUUCACACACACACAAGAAUACUGUUCUAGUCUGCUUGACAUUUGGCACAGAAGUCUUUUUCCCCGUUAAGAAUCCGUGUCUUGUUGCGUGUCGGAGCUUGCAGUCCUGAGGAAACAUGGCGCAGUGCGGUGCUUCACUGAUCCAACUCUGGCCUGAAUGACUAAGCCUCGCAAUCAUCAUUAUCCUCUAAUCUCCAAGUUUCCAAAUUUCACUCACAGUGGCCUCACUGUGAACCCCGAAACUGACAAAUGAUGAGGCGAGAGUGUGAGAAAGCGCUUCAUCAGACACGCUGACGGACGUGGGCAGGAUUAAGGAGCAGCAGCAGCAGAAGAAAGUUUGCUUGCAAACAACUGUCGUUUA
Molecule: long non-coding RNA, 540 nt
Organism: Synchiropus splendidus (mandarinfish)
Lineage: Eukaryota; Metazoa; Chordata; Actinopteri; Syngnathiformes; Callionymidae
Exons: 3
Source: RefSeq, a predicted model, not a curated record